GCCGGUGUAGCUCAGGUGGUAGAGCAACUGAUUUGUAAUCAGUGGGUCGGGGGUUCGAGUCCUCUCACCGGCU
RNAcentral lists this transfer RNA (73 nucleotides) under Nitrospina watsonii. RNAcentral's name for it is "tRNA-Thr". It matches the Rfam family "tRNA". Rfam says of the family: Transfer RNA (tRNA) molecules are approximately 80 nucleotides in length. Lineage: Bacteria; Pseudomonadati; Nitrospinota; Nitrospinia; Nitrospinales; Nitrospinaceae. The record is from RNAcentral.